This 468-nucleotide ribosomal RNA is filed under the name uncultured bacterium. RNAcentral's name for it is "partial 16S ribosomal RNA". It matches the Rfam family "Bacterial small subunit ribosomal RNA", at positions 28 to 507 of the family's 1533-position model. The record is from RNAcentral.
GACGAACGCUGGCGGCGUGCUUAACACAUGCAAGUCGAACGGAAAGGCCCUGCUUUUGUGGGGUGCUCGAGUGGCGAACGGGUGAGUAGCACGUGAGUAACCUGCCCUUGACUUUGGGAUAACUUCAGGAAACUGGGGCUAAUACCGGAUAGGAGCUCCUGCUGCAUGGUGGGGGUUGGAAAGUUUCGGCGGUUGGGGAUGGACUCGCGGCUUAUCAGCUUGUUGGUGGGGUAGUGGCUUACCAAGGCUUUGACGGGUAGCCGGCCUGAGAGGGUGACCGGCCACAUUGGGACUGAGAUACCGCCCAGACUCCUACGGGAGGCAGCAGUGGGGAAUAUUGCACAAUGGGCGGAAGCCUGAUGCAGCAACGCCGCGUGCGGGAUGACGGCCUUCGGGUUGUAAACCGCUUUCGCCUGUGACGAAGCGUGAGUGACGGUAAUGGGUAAAGAAGCACCGGCUAACUACGUG